This 1443-nucleotide long non-coding RNA is filed under the name Salmo salar (Atlantic salmon). RNAcentral describes it as "lncRNA (ENSSSAG00000105552.1)". Lineage: Eukaryota; Metazoa; Chordata; Actinopteri; Salmoniformes; Salmonidae. The record is from RNAcentral.
CCUACAGACUGGAGACAUGACAACAUAGUGGAGGCCUGCAGACUGGAGUCAUGACAACAUAGGGGGGGCCUACAGACUGGAGACAUGACAACAUAUUGGAGGCUAACAUACUGAAGACCUAUUGAUUGGAGACAUGACAACAUAGUGGAGGUCAACAGACUGGAGUCAUGACAACAUAGUGGAGUCCUGCAGACUGGGGAUAUGACAACAUAGUGGAGGCCUACAGACUGGAGUCAUGACAACAUAGUGGAGGCCUACAGACUGGGGAUAUGACAACAUAGUGGAGGCCUACAGACUGGAGACAUUACAUCAUAGUGGAGGACUACGGACUGGGGACAUGACAUUACAGUGGAAGACUACAGACAUGGCAACAUAGUGGAGGCCUACAGACUGGAGACAUUACAAAAUAGUGAAGACUAACAGACUGGAGACAGGACAACAUAGUGAAGGCCUACAGACUGGAGACAUUACAAAAUAGAAGAGGGCUACAAACUCGAGACAUUACAACAUAGUGGAGAACUACAGACUGGAGUCAUGACAACAUAGUGGAGGCCUGCAGACUGGGGAUAUGACAACAUAGUGGAUACCUACAGACUGGAGACAUUACAACAUAGUGGAGGCCUGCAGACUGGUGACAUUAAAACAUAGUGGAGGCCUGCAGACUGGAGACAUUACAUCAUAGUGGAGGACUACGGACCGGGGACAUGACAUUAUAGUGGAGGACUACGGACUGGGGACAUGACAUUAUUGUGGAAGACUACAGACAUGGCAACAUAGUGGAGGCCUACAGACUGGAGACAUUACAUCAUAGUGGAGGCCUACAGACUGGAGACAUUACAUCAUAGUGGAGGACUACGGACUGGGGACAUGACAUUAUAGUGGAAGACUACAGACUACAGACAUGGCAACAUAGUGGAGGCCUACAGACUGGAGACAUUACAUCAUAGUGGAGGCCUACAGACUGGAGACAUUACAUCAUAGUGGAGGACUACGGACUGGGGACAUGACAUUAUAGUGGAAGAUUACAGACAUGGCAACAUAGUGGAGGCCUACAGACUGGAGUCAUGACAACAUAGGGGGGGGCCUACAGACUGGAGACAUGACAACAUAGUGGAAGCUAACAGACUGAAGACCUAUUGAUUGGAGACAUGACAACAUAGUGGAGGUCAACAGACUGGAGUCAUGACAACAUAGUGGAGUCCUGCAGACUGGGGAUAUGACAACAUAGUGGAGGCCUACAGACUGGAGUCAUGACAACAUAGUGGAGUCCUGCAGACUGGGGAUAUGACAACAUAAUAGAGGCCUAUUGACUGGAGACAUUACAUCAUAGUGAAGGACUACGGACUGGGGACAUGACAUUAUAGUGAAGGACUACGGACUGGGGAAAUUACAUCAUAGUGGAGGCCAACAGACUGGAGACCAGCAGACUGGAGACAUGACAAC